This 107-nucleotide small nuclear RNA is filed under the name Mus spicilegus (steppe mouse). Lineage: Eukaryota; Metazoa; Chordata; Mammalia; Rodentia; Muridae. The record is from RNAcentral.
GUGCUUGCUUCGGCAGCACAUAUACUAAAAUUGGAACGAUACAGAGAAGAUUAGCAUGGCCCCUGUGCAAGGAUAACACACAAAUUCGUGAAGCAUUCCAUAUUUUU